RNAcentral lists this ribosomal RNA (254 nucleotides) under uncultured bacterium. Its description in RNAcentral is "partial 16S ribosomal RNA". It matches the Rfam family "Bacterial small subunit ribosomal RNA", at positions 524 to 776 of the family's 1533-position model. The record is from RNAcentral.
CGCGUAGGGUGCGAGCGUUGUCCGGAAUUAUUGGGCGUAAAGAGCUCGUAGGCGGUGUGUCGCGUCGGCCGUGAAAACCUGCAGCUUAACUGUGGGCUUGCGGUCGAUACGGGCAUCACUGGAGUUCGGCGGGGGAGACUGGAAUUCCUGGUGUAGCGGUGAAAUGCGCAGAUAUCAGGAGGAACACCGGUGGCGAAGGCGGGUCUCUGGGCCGAUACUGACGCUGAGGCGCGAAAGCGUGGGGAGCAAACAGG